Molecule: long non-coding RNA, 2643 nt
Filed under: Malus domestica (apple)
Lineage: Eukaryota; Viridiplantae; Streptophyta; Magnoliopsida; Rosales; Rosaceae
Description: long non-coding RNA (MDOM_LNC013852)
Source: RNAcentral
CUCUCUAACCUCUCGGAUCUCUCUGCACUCUCUCAUCUCCUUCUUUGCUAUGUCAACAGCCUCGGACUCAACACUCUCUCUAAUCCCUCGAAUCGUCUCUGCACUCUCUGCUCUACUUCUCCUCCUUGUCCUCCUCAACCAUCUUCCUCCCUCUCAUAUACUUCCUCUUCCUCUUCAUUUUCACGCAACAGCGCCGCCGUCCACCGGUCACCAACGGCCGCCAAAUUAAACUUCUAGAAUCCUUUUUCCGUCCUCUUUCCAACCCCCAAAUUAGUUUCUACAAAUUCGUAACCGAAUUUCCUCAAUUUCAGAUCUAAGAAACGGUGACCAUUGGUUUUCCGUCCAAUUUCUGGCUAAGCCCUGUCGGAAUUGGACCUCGACCCAAGAGAUCAGUGAACAAUUUCUGGGUGUCCAUAGAGUGCAAGCAAGGUGAACUUCGACGGUUGGUUAUGGCAGUUUUUUUGGUGCGUACCGUUUCGUUCCUGCCAUAUGGGUAACGUCAUUCCUUUCUUGAUUAGAAUUAUUAACUUCUAUUGGUAUUCAUGAGUGAUAGCUAUUCUUUGUUUGAGAUGGGUAAUCUUGGUUGAGAAAUUUGUUCUAAUCAGCCGCAAAAUAUGGUCGGAAGUUUGUUGUCCUUGAAGUUCAUGACUUGGAAUCGUCGGGGUUGUUCCCGGCUAGGAUAUUUUGUCAAGCUUCCUUUUUAGAUUGAAUAAAUUAUCUUGAUAUUUUCUGUUCUAUAUCGAAUAAAUUUAUCAUUUGCUGUUGCAUCUCAUGGUCAGUGUGGGGGUUUCCUGUUAUUAAGGAACUCUAUUUCGGUUAAUUUUAAGAAUACUAAGGUUCGGAUAUGUUUUUGGAUGAAAGGUGACCUUUCUUUUUGAUAUUGGAGGGGUGUUGCAUAAAAUUUGAUACCUGCAAGGCUGCACACAAGUCAAUAACAUGAAAUAUGGAUGGUGUGUAAAUUCAUCCGUCUUAGAGGUUUUGAGUUUCAUAUGUAUAGUCAAUUAUCGUACGUUCAAAGUUUGUUAUUGACCAAAAGAAAGACGAUGGGAAGCCAAGGGUUAUGGCUACUCUGAAUAAUAAUAAUAAAAUCUAAUCUUUGUAACUGGAAAACUUAAUCUAAUUAUUUGUUCUGGGAUUGUCAUGGAUAAUUAUAUUCUAGUAACGAGGUACAUGACUUCUUUGUGAAAGCUCAUGUUUUGUGUUCAGUUCAUCAUUUUGUGUUUUGGAAAAGAACAGAUCAAAUAGUGUAGAAAGUUUCAGUUUGAUUGCUUAGUUCAGAUUACUUUAAGAAAUUUGGGUUUGAGCGGACAUUUGUUUGUGGUAAUUGUUAUCCAGCUUUCUUGUUCAGAUGCAAUUGCGUUCUAGUCAUGUGCAAAAGAAAAAUGUACCUCACUAGCAAAAUGCUUUUCGAAAUUAAAAUGAACAUCCAGUGCUGACUUGUUCUCUGCAUGUUGCUUCGUGUGCAGAGAACACGAAGUAUAUGGAAGAGUGGCUCUCUUCUCUGAGCAGCAGCUGACACCGGAUGAAAUGGAUACUGGCCUAGUUUGAUGUAAUUACUUACUAGUAGUACGGGACUGGCUAAUAUAACUUUGAGUAGCAGAGAUGGGAGUAUUAUAGAGGAUUCUAGUGCCAGUAUUGCUGGAAGGUGGUUUGUUUUCCUGCUGCCUUUGCCUUGGGAUUGACUUGGAAGGAGGCUGCUGCUACUGUCUUACUCGCAAUUCAAAAUUAUGGUACUAGAUCUCUUUAAGGGAAUUAGAUCCCUCAUAUCUCAAAAUGGUAUAUAUAUAUUUAACAUGUAUUUCUACAUAGUUCAUGCCUAUUUUGGUUUAAAAGUAGAAUUGGAUAUAUGAUGUUCACCAUAUACUACUGAAUAUCAUGCAAAACCCAUUUUUGGAUUGAGGUGUUGGUCGUUAGUCUUAUACUCUUUGAAUACUGUUUGAAAAUUCUUUUUAAGAAAACGUACAAUUGCCAAAUUACUCCACAUGUAUAAAAGUAAUUUAUUUAAAGGAUGGAAUUGGUCUUUUAGUAUUAUGUGUACUCAUGCCUUUUAGUGAUGGUUUGUACUUGUGAUUAGGUUAAUUGCGUGGAGUAUUUGGGACUGGGGCGUGACAAUAGAUGCCAAAUGGUAUUGUAUCUCAUUUUGGAGUUUGGUGUUGUGAACCCUUUUGUACAUACAAGUUUAAAAUAUAUAUGCAUAUAUGUUUAUAUGCACGUGGCAUGAGGUCAUUGAUUUUUUGGGUGCAAUACAUCUUAAUUCUAAGAAGAGGAGAUUUGACUCUAUAAGUGCAGGUAUUGGAUUGCUCUGCUCUCUCAGUGUAAGUACAUCUCUGCAUAUCUUUAUUUCCUCAAUUAUAUUUGACUUUGUUAUGUUGAGUUGCCAAAUUAAAGGUAUUGCACUACUUUUUCGAUACUACAUUAAAUCUGGAACAUGUGAAACAUUAAAUUUUGAGUGUUAAUCAUUGAACAGGGGCUGCAUUUUAAAUUUGUAAACAUCCACUGUAAUGGUUUGGGGCUUGAUAGUUGUACCAAAUCUCUUUUUCUUAUUCCCAUGUGCAUGUCCAUGUGUAGACCUUUUUGCAGCUUUCUAAGUUUAGGUUUUUCUUGAUGUGUGCUUAAGUGGUUUGGGAUUACUUUCCUUUGCAG